GAAAAAAGAGAAAGGAGAUCAGGGUUUUGAGGUUGGAGGAGAAGGUCGGAUAAAAAACUGAUGUCGAAGAUCUGAGAAUUCUCGACCUAGACCUUCAGCAGUCCAAGGCAAGGUGCGUUCACGAAUUGCACUUUCCUAUUUCGUCAAAAACAACCAAGAACUCAAGGACUGUGAUCUUCGCAAGUUUUGGAGUGAAGGCGGUCGAGACUUCCGUUCGAAUCGGAGUUUCAAGAAAACGAGAUUUUUGGAGAGAGAGAGGAUGUCGCCACGCGUCGGCCGACAUAAGGAGGAGCGCGGCAGAAUCGACGUUAGACACGUGUCGUGUUCCGAUUGGUGAGGUGUGCUCCACACGUUGGCUGACACGCGGCAGAGCGCGGGAUUCAAGCCAACUCGAGUCCGAAGUGGGCAACCCAAACCGCAUCUGGAGAACAGCCUCGACGCAAUUGGUCUGACCCGGCUUUCUGGUCCGCGACUGAGUAGGCGUUGCGCGAGUAGAUACGCACGAGUGGAACCAUGCGUAGUAAUUCUCCAGAGCGCGCUAGUCGCCCGUGUAGGCGCGUGAGUAGUUGUUUUUCCUCCGUUACAUUUCUGUUUGCUUGUUUUUCGUCUCGAUUUCGAUACUGACCCUAUUGUUAUGUGAAUUAGGAUAUGUCAAGGAAAUUCCAGAAUUUUUGGAAUCCUUUCCGUCAAGAAACUCGAGCUAGAGAACGCACGCGUCAACCAAGUAAGUAGCCAUUUGGAUUCCCACAAGCAGUACUUAUAGGAACCGCUUGGAAUAAGCAUGCAUGGUAUCAUAUCCAUAAACUUAGCUAGUCGAACCUAGCAUAUUAGUACGGAAACCGUGAAAAUGAAAUAAACAAGGAAACCUAUGGCUUCUAUAUAUGAAUGAUAAUAUAAUCUGUUUAGAUUGAGAUUCUGAUAAUGUAUGUAUGCAUGAAGAGGAUGGGAAACUUGUGAAAUCUGCGCUCCGGGUGAAGAUGGACGUUAUAUUCCUGUUGAGCAUGUUUGUUAAUAUUGCAUGAACUACUGCAUGUUAACUCCUGUGCAUGAUUGCUUGUGUUAUCUUUCUCGUUGAAUAGGAAGAAACUACAUGCUUAGAUUAGGGUGUUUGUGACUAAGUAGGUUAGACGAGACCCUAGGUUCGGAGACCUCUAGAGUAGUACCGUACAUUUAAACCCACGAAACGACUACCGGCGAAUCCAUAGCCC
Non-coding RNA from Cucurbita pepo subsp. pepo (vegetable marrow), 1208 nucleotides. The record is from RefSeq and is a predicted model, not a curated record. Lineage: Eukaryota; Viridiplantae; Streptophyta; Magnoliopsida; Cucurbitales; Cucurbitaceae.